Megalobrama amblycephala (Wuchang bream) is the source of this 1334-nucleotide long non-coding RNA. RefSeq lists it as uncharacterized. The record is from RefSeq and is a predicted model, not a curated record. Lineage: Eukaryota; Metazoa; Chordata; Actinopteri; Cypriniformes; Xenocyprididae. The transcript has 3 exons.
UCGAGAGGAAACUGGAAUCUUUAUUGCACUUUGGACAGGAGUAUGUAAUAUUCAUUAAUGUCAGCGUAUGAAAAGAGCAGGUCUAAAUAUUUUUGUAGGGCUAUUGCAUAACGUGAAGGGGGAGGGAAUAUGUUUCAACUGCUUCCAGGACUCCUGCAAAAUGUUAAACAAAGGAAAGACAGUCUGACUCCAGCAAUUAGGCGGCCAAUAAGAGCGAGCCGUUCUACACCGAGGUCAGGGUUGACGUGCCGGAUUGGCCAGCGCAGGAGGAAUCCACUUCCUGUGUGAAUUAGACUGUGAGGAGUCGGUGAAAGUAGCGCUGGAUGAAAAGGACACCACGGCGCGGCCAGAGCUUCAGACUCGCUUUAAGCAGAUGCAAACGUGUGUGUGUGUCUGGGGUCGAGAACGGAGACGCGAUUCCAUCUCUUCAAAUAUACUGGAACAAAACUCUCCUGCACGAGCACUGAAGCUGCAGCGCCACGGCGAGAGAAAUUACCUGUUAUCUCAGGUGCAACUGAAUGCCAUGAGGUGGAAUGAACGGCACAACAUAAUACAAUUAUAAUGAAUAGACAAUGCAUGUGUUAAUUGUGUCGUCCUUGUUGUUGUCAUGCAACAAACAAAGCACAACCAGAGUGUGACUCUUAUGAGUCAGUUCUCUUCAUUGAAAAGUCAAAAUGACUUACUGACUGACUCGUGAAUCCUGUAACUGAAAUGAAUCGGGAACCAGAACAGAGCAUCCUAACCAGACGUAAUAAAAGUUGAAAGAAAGUCUGGAAUGACACGAGGGAGAGUAAAUGAAGACAGAACGGGCAUAUUUGAGUUAACUUAUCCCUUUAAUCAGAGAUUUACACGAUGAGCAACAGGCGCUUGUAUUUUUGGACUGGUUUCUACACCACAGCUGACAGUUCAGAUAUGGUUACCUACAAGACAACUAUCCCAGCAGAUUAAAGAAGAUUAAAGUUCUUAAGAAAAGCACUGCGAAAAGUAGCAACAGUCAAAAACAGUUUGCAGAUAUGCAGACAAGAGGGCAAGAUGGUACAGUACGGCUGCUGAUUUUAUCAAACUCAAAUGCUUUCUACAGAAAUCCACAACAUUUAUCUCUCUGCACACUGAAAAAACAUUGUAGGAUUUACUCUGAAUCAUCUUUUACUCAGAAAUUGCUAGUUAAUUUCACAAAUAAUUAAUAAUUAAAACAUAGAAUUUUGAGGUAGAAAGACUGAAACAGUAUUUCUUUGUAAAACAAACUAUUUUGUAAUAAAUUUAAUAACAAUAUAUAUAUAUUGUUAUUAAAUUUAUUACAAAAUAGUUUUUUUUUUACGAAAUGAGCGAAAAGU